This 506-nucleotide ribosomal RNA is filed under the name uncultured bacterium. Its description in RNAcentral is "partial 16S ribosomal RNA". It matches the Rfam family "Bacterial small subunit ribosomal RNA", at positions 28 to 523 of the family's 1533-position model. The record is from RNAcentral.
GAUGAACGCUAGCUACAGGCUUAACACAUGCAAGUCGAGGGGUAACGAGAGGAAAGCUUGCUUUCCUUGUCGACGACCGGCGCACGGGUGAGUAACGCGUAUCCAACCUGCCCCCAACUAGGGAAUAACCUUGCGAAAGUAAGACUAAUACCCUAUAAUUUCCUCAGAUGUCAUCUGACGAGGAAUAAAGAUUUAUCGGUUGUGGAUGGGGAUGCGUCUGAUUAGCUUGUUGGCGGGGUAACGGCCCACCAAGGCAACGAUCAGUAGGGGUUCUGAGAGGAAGGUCCCCCACAUUGGAACUGAGGCACGGUCCAAACUCCUACGGGAGGCAGCAGUGAGGAAUAUUGGUCAAUGGGCGGAAGCCUGAACCAGCCAAGUAGCGCGCAGGAUGACGGCCCUAUGGGUUGUAAACUGCUUUUGUACAGGAAUAAAGUUAGCCACGUGUGGUUAUUUGUAGGUACUGUAUGAAUAAGGACCGGCUAAUUCCGUGCCAGCAGCCGCGGUAA